CCCAGACCAAGUGCAUGGAAACGAUGGCUCAUGUCUCUCAACAUUUGCCCAAGGGAAUGGUGCCUACCUUGCAACUCAGCGUGAUGUCACCUUUAUUAGCCAUUCUGGUGUCUAUACAAAAUAUUUGCUCCCCAUUUCUUCUUAUCGAUGCCUGGUCAGCAACAAUCAUGUAAAUAAGUUUCCAUUCUUUUGAGGAAGAUAACGAAGUCAGCGUUUUUCAGAAGUGGUGCCUAGGAAGAGACAAAAUCCAGGACACACCUCUAGUUCAGAGUCUCAGUCGCCCAGGCUGGAGUGCAGCAGCACAAUCUCACCUCAUUGCAACCUCCGCCUCCCAGGUUCAAGCAAUUCUCCCACCUCAGCUUCCUAGUAGCUGGGAUUACAGGCACUCACCACCAUGCCCAGCUAAUUUUUUGAAUUUUUAGUAGAGACGGGAUUUCACCAUAUUGGCCAUGCUGGUCUUGAACCCCCGACCUCAAAUGAUUCGCCCGCCUCAGCCUCCCAAAGUGCUGGGAUUACAGGCGUGAGUAUCUUAGUUUUUAACAAAAAAGUGUGAAAAGGAAAGAAAAAAUUUAAAGUUUUAAAAAUAGAAAAAAGUUUAUAAAAUAAUGUUAUAAAUAAUGAGAAUAUUUUUGUAUAGCUAUACAAUGUGUUUUAAGCUAAGUGCUAUUACAAAAAGAGUCAAAAAGGUUUUUUUAAUUUAAAAGUUUGGGGGUUUUUUGUUUUGUUUUUGUUUUUGUUUUUGUUUUUUUGAGAUGACGUUUCUUUCUUGCCUCCCAGACUGGAGUGCAGUGGCGUGGUGAUCCCAGUUCACUGCAACGUCCGCCUCCCCAGUUUCAAGCAAUUCUCCUGCCUCAGCCUCCCAAGUAACUGGGAUUACAGGCAUGUGCCACCAUGCCCAGCUAAAUUUUGUAUUUUUAGUAGAGAUGGGGAUUCACUAUGUUGGCCAGGCUGGUCUCAAUCUCCUGACCUCAGGUGGUUUACCUGCCUCGGCCUCCCAAAGUGCUGGUAUUACAGGCAUGAGCCACCACACCCGGCCUAAUUAAAAAGUUUAUAAAGUAAAAAAGUUAUAGUAAGAUAAGGUUAACUUAUUAUUGGAGAGAGAAAAAAUGGUUUUUACAAAUUAGGUAUAGCUUAAGUGUACAGUGUUUUUAAAGUCUACAGUAGUGUACAGUAAUGUACUAGGCCUUCAUAUUCGCUCAACACUGACUCACUGACUCACCCAGAGCAGCUUCUAAUCCUGCAAACUCCAUUCAUGAUAAGUUCCCUACACAAGUAUCCCAUUUUUUAUCUUUAUACCAUAUUUUCACUGUACCCUUUCUACGUUUAGAUACACAAAUACUAUUGUGUUACAUUUGCCUACAGUAUUCAAUACAGUAACAUGCUGUCUGGCUUUGUAGCCUAGAAGCAAUAGGCUAUGCCACAUAGCCUAGGUGUGCAGUAGGCUACACCAUCUAGGUUUGUGGAAGUACACAUCUUGAUGUUCACACAAUGAUGAAAUGGCCUAACAAUGCAUUUCUCAGAAUGUAUGAUGCAUGGCUAUAUAUAAAAUUAUGCUGAAAUCUAAAAAAAUGAGAUGAUGGUCAUAAUGACAAUGAUGAAGAUGACUAUAUGUUUCAGCUUCUACUCCAUGGUCCUUUGAGGACAACUGAAGUAACUAGAUAUGAUUUUUGUCAGUUGUGUUUUAAGUGUAUGUAUCAAAUCCAGCUACCCCAAGUUUUACAAUAACUUUAUAUGGUUUAAUCUUAUCUUGCUGAACACAUUAGAUAUGCUGCCCUGAAAAGUGGCUUGCAAACAGAAUUUUUAGAAACUGAACCAUAAUUAAAAUGCACAGAGGCCGGGCACGGUGGCUCACACCUGUAAUCCCAGUACUUUGGGAAGCCAAGACAGGCGGAUCACCUGAGGUCAGGAGUUUGAGACCAGCCUGACCAACAUGAAGAAACCCUGUCUCUACUAAAAAUACAAAAUUAGCCAUGCGUGGUGGCACAUGGCUGUAAUCCCAGCUACUCAGGAAGCUGAGGCAGGAGAAUCGCUUGAACCCAGGAGGCGGAGGUUGUGGUGAGCCGAGAUCGCGCCAUUGCACUCCAGCCUGGGCAACAAGAGCGAAACUCUGUCUCAAAAAAAAAAUGCACAGAGAAGGUUUCCAUGUAUCUAGUGGAAUUGUACAAUGCUUAUGUGAUCUUGUGAUAUCAUUAAUAUUUUGUAAUAUAAAUAAUUAUCCUCAUUAUUUUAAUUUUCUGGCAUUGUAGCAACACCUGUAUAAAUAUUUAUAGUUACUUAAGAACUCACAAAACAACCUUUUGAAGUAGGCAAAUAAAACCAACUCUUGGUUAUCUCAAAGAGUUCUUUUUGUUUGAUUCUUGUGUUAUCUACAUUUCUUCUCUCACUGUAAAUUGGCAUAAAUUUGGCAGAUACAAAACAAGUAAAGUUCAAACUCCUCCACUCAACCACUUUAAGGGAUUUUUUUUCCUGCUUAUAAGUAUAUCACAUGUUCAUUGUAGAAAAUUUGGAAAUGCAG
This 2515-nucleotide long non-coding RNA is filed under the name Homo sapiens (human). Its description in RNAcentral is "HSALNT0335521". The record is from RNAcentral. Lineage: Eukaryota; Metazoa; Chordata; Mammalia; Primates; Hominidae.